RNAcentral lists this ribosomal RNA (1096 nucleotides) under uncultured Peptococcaceae bacterium. RNAcentral describes it as "bacterial SSU rRNA". It matches the Rfam family "Bacterial small subunit ribosomal RNA", at positions 370 to 1482 of the family's 1533-position model. The record is from RNAcentral. Lineage: Bacteria; Bacillati; Bacillota; Clostridia; Eubacteriales; Peptococcaceae.
AAUGGGGGAAACCCUGACGGAGCGACGCCGCGUGAGGGAAGAAGGUUUUCGGAUUGUAAACCUCUGUUCUAUGGGAAGAAGAAGUGACGGUACCAUAGGAGUAAGCCCCGGCUAACUACGUGCCAGCAGCCGCGGUAACACGUAGGGGGCAAGCGUUGUCCGGAAUUACUGGGCGUAAAGGGCGCGUAGGCGGCCUAUUAAGUUAGAGGUGAAAGGCCAGGGCUCAACCCUGGAGUUGCCUCUAAAACUGGCAGGCUUGAGUGCAGGAGAGGGAAGUGGAAUUCCUAGUGUAGCGGUGAAAUGCGUAGAUAUUAGGAGGAACAUUAGUGGCGAAGGCGGCUUCCUGGCCUGUAACUGACGCUGAGGCGCGAAAGCGUGGGUAGCAAACAGGAUUAGAUACCCUGGUAGUCCACGCCGUAAACGAUGAGUGCUAAGUGUUGGAGGUAUCGACCCCUUCAGUGCUGCAGUUAACGCAAUAAGCACUCCGCCUGGGGAGUACGGUCGCAAGACUGAAACUCAAAAGAAUUGACGGGGGCCCGCACAAGCGGUGGAGCAUGUGGUUUAAUUCGACGCAACGCGAAGAACCUUACCAGGACUUGACAUCCUCUGAUUGAUCUAGAGAUAGAUAGUUCUCUUCGGAGACAGAGAGACAGGUGGUGCAUGGUUGUCGUCAGCUCGUGUCGUGAGAUGUUGGGUUAAGUCCCGCAACGAGCGCAACCCUUACCGUUAGUUGCCAGCACGUAAAGGUGGGAACUCUAGCGGAACUGCCGUUGACAAAACGGAGGAAGGUGGGGAUGACGUCAAAUCAUCAUGCCCCUUAUGUCCUGGGCAACACACGUGCUACAAUGGUCUGUGCUGAGGGAAGCGAAGCCGCGAGGUGAAGCAAACCCCAAAAAGCAGAUCUUAGUUCGGAUUGCAGGCUGCAACUCGCCUGUAUGAAGUCGGAAUCGCUAGUAAUCGCAGGUCAGCAUACUGCGGUGAAUACGUUCCCGGGCCUUGUACACACCGCCCGUCACACCACGAAAGUUGACAACACCCGAAGCCGGUGGUCUAACUACGGAAGAAGCCGUCGAAGGUGGGGUUGAUGAUUGGGGUG